GACCUCCUCGGAUCGCAUCUGGAGAGCUCCCCGUGCUCUUCCAGCUUCGGCUACGGGAGGGAGAGUGAGGCCUGCAGAGGAACACCCAUUCCGCUCCUAGCGCGCGCGUGGCUGGAGAGCGGAAGACAAUCUGCCACAAGC
Molecule: small nucleolar RNA, 141 nt
Organism: Sarcophilus harrisii (Tasmanian devil)
Lineage: Eukaryota; Metazoa; Chordata; Mammalia; Dasyuromorphia; Dasyuridae
Source: Ensembl